This 499-nucleotide ribosomal RNA is filed under the name uncultured bacterium. Its description in RNAcentral is "bacterial SSU rRNA". It matches the Rfam family "Bacterial small subunit ribosomal RNA", at positions 30 to 518 of the family's 1533-position model. The record is from RNAcentral.
AUUGAACGCUGGCGGCAUGCCUUACACAUGCAAGUCGAACGGUAACAGGUCUUCGGAUGCUGACGAGUGGCGAACGGGUGAGUAAUACAUCGGAACGUGCCCGAUCGUGGGGGAUAACGCAGCGAAAGCUGUGCUAAUACCGCAUACGAUCUACGGAUGAAAGCGGGGGAUCGCAAGACCUCGCGCGGACGGAGCGGCCGAUGGCAGAUUAGGUAGUUGGUGGGAUAAAAGCUUACCAAGCCGACGAUCUGUAGCUGGUCUGAGAGGACGACCAGCCACACUGGGACUGAGACACGGCCCAGACUCCUACGGGAGGCAGCAGUGGGGAAUUUUGGACAAUGGGCGAAAGCCUGAUCCAGCAAUGCCGCGUGCAGGAUGAAGGCCUUCGGGUUGUAACUAGCUUUUGUUACGGAACGAAAGGAACUACUGGUUAAUACCUGGGUUCGAGUGACGGUACCGUAAGAAUAAGACACCGGCUAACUACGUGCCAGCAGCCGAC